This 502-nucleotide long non-coding RNA is filed under the name Sorghum bicolor (sorghum). RNAcentral's name for it is "long non-coding RNA (SBIC_LNC011345)". The record is from RNAcentral. Lineage: Eukaryota; Viridiplantae; Streptophyta; Magnoliopsida; Poales; Poaceae.
GGUGAUGGACUGUGAUGGUGCUUGGUGGUGGACUGGUAAAGGAGGGAGGUGACGGUGACGGUACGGUGAUGGUGAUGCUCGCAGGUUUUUGGUUUGAACGCAUAUACAUACGGUUUGAGAGGUGGUGCCGUGCCGCCGCCCGCGCGAGCGCCUAUUGAACCAUGGCGAGGAAGGUGCUGGUCGGAGCCGAGGUCGGCACCGCCGGCGCAGCCGUCGUCGCUGCAGCCGGUGCUGGUGCGGUGUUGGUGCCGCCCGGGUUCGGCCUCUGGAACUGUAUCCUGUACUGCAUUUUGCCGUCGUCCUCGCCUUCCUCGCCGUCGUCGGUGUACUCGUCGCCCAUGUCGUCGCUGUCCGUCUCGUCCUCCGUCGUGAACUCCCGAGGUGGUUGCUCGUUCAACUCCCUGACGAUGUCUUCUGGCUUCACAGCAAGCACAUAUCCUGUCAGCCUGCGUCUAUCGAUCGAGCACGAAACGACAGAGGGGACGAAGAAGAAAAAGGUUGG